ACCCUAGUCAAGUGGGAUUACCUAUUGAGUUUAAGCAAAUUGAUUAACACAGAAAAAGAAACUUACCAAGAUUCCUUUAGUAACAAUGAGCGAACCGAGUAGAGCCUAGCUUGAGAAUCGAGCACCCACGGCAUCUAAAUUGUAGUUUGGAGAAGCAUCCUCAGAAGUAGACUAGGCUAAACUCCCUUGGAAAGGGCACUAAGAAGGGUGAGAGCCCCAUUGUGUCGAGACAUUGUCACACCAUGAGGCAUUGUCUAUGAGUCGGGUUGUUUAAAAAUGUAGCCCCAAUCGUGCUAUAAAUUUUGUGUGAGGCUAAAUACACUCAAGAGACCGAUAGCGAACAAGUACCGUAAGUGAAACAUGAAAAGGACUUUGAAAAGAUAGUCAAAGAAUGCUUGAAAUUGUUAGAAAGAAAGUAGAUGGGGCCAGUGAUGCACCCAGUUGAAUGUAGAAUAGCAAGAGCCAAUCUGUCAAUCGAUCAAUCUGUUGAUCAGCUCGGGGAGUGGACCAACUUAGGUCAUAGCAGCGGCCCAAGCCCAAGCUUUUGAUAUGCCUUUAGAGACAUUGUCACCAUGAUUAUGGAAUGCAACACACACCACCUUGGUGUAACUUGGUACCCACGUGCUCUUGACAUCAACCUAUAGGCUCUUAAUUUAGCCCGUCUUAAAACAUGAACUAAGGAGUCUAACAUAUGUGUGAGUCAAUGGGCUAGAAAACCCAUAAGGCAUAAGAAAGUUGAUUGAUGGGAUACCUCAUGGGUGCACUGCCUACCAACCUUGAUCUUCUAAGAAGAGUUUCAGUGUGAGCAUGCUUGUUAAGACCUAAAAGAUGGUGAACCAUACCUGAGUAAGGUGAAGCCAAGACAAACUCUGGUGGAGGCCCAUAGUGAUAUUGAUGUUGAAAUCUUCAUCUAACUUGGGUAUAAGGGCAAAAAACUAAUCAAAGCAUCUAGUAGCUAGUUCUCUUUGAAGUUUCCUUUAGGAUAGCUGCACCUUUAGUGAGUUCUAUAGGGUAAAGCUAAUGAUUAGAAGCAUUAGGGGUGCAAUGCCCUUGACCUAUUCUCAAACUUUAAAUUGGUAGGAUGACGCUCUACUUCAUUGAGCCAUGCCAUGGAAUCAAUGACUCUAAGGGGGCCAUUUUUUGGUAAACAAAACUAGCAAGGUGGAUUGAGCCGAAAGCCAUGUUACAGUGCCCAACUAUAUGCUAACUUAGAACCCACAAAGGGGUUGGUCAAUUAAGACAGCAUGAUGGUGGUCAUGGAAGUCAAAAUCUACUAAAGAGUAUGUAACAACUCACCUACCAAUCAACUAAACCCAAAAAUGGAUGAUGCUUAAGCGUGUGGCUAUACUUGGCUAUUGGGGAAAGGACCGAGCCCUGAUGAGUAAGAAGGCAAGGCUAUCAUUGUAAAACCCAGGGUAUAAGCCUAGGCAGAGCAACGGUUAGUGCAGAUCUUGGUGAUGGUAGCAAAUAUUCAAAUAAGAAUUUUAAAGGUUGAAUAGGGGAAAGGUUCCAUGUGAAAAACACUUGCACAUAGGUUAGUUGAUCCUAAAAGAUGGGGGAAAUUCAUCCAAUAGCGCAUCCAGUGUUAGCUUUAAAAGGGAAUUAGGUUAAAAUUCCUAAACUAGAAUGCGGUAGCUAACAACAACAUUAAGGAGUUUAAAAACAUUGGUGAUGGCCUUAGGAAGAGUUAUCUUUUCUGUUUAAUGGCCUGCCCACCCUAGAAAUGGCUUAGCCAGAGGUAGGGUCUAGCAGCUAGAAGAGCACCGCACAUCAUGCAAUGUCUAGUGCAAUCUUGAUGGCUCUUAAAAAUCUAAAAGAUCGAGUACCAUCUGUGCUUGGUUGUACUCAUAAUCGCAUCAAGUUUCCUAGGUGAAUAGCCUCUAGUCGAUGGAAUAAUGUAGGUAGGGGAAGUCAACAAAAUGGAUUUAUAAGCUCAAGAAAAAGAUUGGCUUUGAAGGCUAGGCAUGGGGGUCUCAGUCUUGAACCCAUUGACUGUUAGUGCACUACUCUAGCUAUUCCCACAGUGUGAGUAGGUCAUAGCUUGCUAGCUGAGGGAUGGACUAGGAAUGUCUUCCUUUGUGGGCCUUACUCGAGUGAUGAACAGUUAACUCAGAACUGACAUAGGCAAAGGGAAUCCAACUAUUUAAUUAAAACAUAUCAUUGUGAUGGUCCUUGUAAAUGCUCACACAAUAUGAUUUUUGCCCAGUGCUCUGAUUGUCAAAGUGAAGAAAUUCAACCAAGGAUAGGUAAAUGGUAAGAGUAACUAUGACUCUCUUAAGGUAGCCAUAUGCCUUGUCAUUUAAUUAGUAAUAGGCAUGAAUGGAUUAACAAGAUUCCCACUGUCUCUGUCUACUAUCUAUUAAAACCAUAGCCAAGGGAAUGGGCCUGGUAGAUUCUGUAGGGAAAGAAGACCCUGUUGAGCUUAACUUUAGUCUGACUUUGUGAAAUGACUUAAUAAGUGUAGGAUAAGUGACAGCCCUCAAGUGAAAUUGAAAUACCAUAACUUUUAAUGUUAUUUUACUUAUUCCAUGUAUCGAAGGUAGGGUAUGACUUUUGGACCUAAGGCCAACCUCAAUUGGUUGAUCCUGCUAAAAAACAUUAUUAGGUGAGGAGUUUAGUUGGGGUAGUACAUCUGUUAAAAGAUAAUGCAAAUGUCCUAAGUGUGUUCAAUGAGAAUAGAAAUCUCAUGUGAAAUAAAAGGGUAAAAGCUCAUUUGAUUAUGAUUUACAGUAUGAAUAUGAAUCAUGAAAGCAUGGCCUAUCGAUCCAUUAGACCUUCAAAAUUUCAAGCUACAGGUGUUAAAAAAGUUACUUCAAGGAUAACUGGCUUGUGGCAACCAAUCGUUUAUAGUGACAUUGCUUUUUCAUGCUUCGAUGUUAGCUUUUCCUAUCAUUAUAAAGCAAAAUUCACCAUGUGUUUGAUUUUUCACUCACCAAUAGGGAAUGUGAGCUUGGUUUAGACCAUCGUGAGAUAGGUUAGUUUUACCCUACUGAUGGCAGUGUCGCAAUAGUAAUUUAACCUAGUGUGAGAGGAACCAUUGAUUCUCACAAUUGGUAAUUGCACUUGGUUGAAAAGUUGGUGGCGUGAAGCUACCAUGUGCUAGAUUAUGACUAAACACCUCUAAGUCAGAAUCUAGGCUAGAAGUGAUGCAUGCACCUGUCGCCUAAUUGCUAACCUGUAAUAGGGGCCAAUGCCUCCUAAGGGCAUAUGUCAUAGGUGUAGCCUCUACAAUAGACAAGCUACACAAGCCUCUUUAGAGCUCAAUUUCCAUAAGA
This 3275-nucleotide ribosomal RNA is filed under the name Durio zibethinus. Its description in RNAcentral is "eukaryotic LSU rRNA". It matches the Rfam family "Eukaryotic large subunit ribosomal RNA". The record is from RNAcentral. Lineage: Eukaryota; Viridiplantae; Streptophyta; Magnoliopsida; Malvales; Malvaceae.